AUACGGAGGGUGCAAGCGUUACUCGGAAUCACGGGGCGUAAAGCGCGCGCAGGCGGCUUGAUAAGUUGGAUGUGAAAGCCUACGGCUCAACCGUAGAACUGCAUCCAAAACUGUCAGGCUAGAGUGUGGGAGAGGAAGAUGGAAUUAGUUGUGUAGGGGUAAAAUCCGUAGAGAUAACUAGGAAUACCAAAAGCGAAGGCAAUCUUCUGGAACACUACUGACGCUGAGGCGCGAAGGCGUGGGGAGCAAACAGGAUUAGAAACCCCAGUAGUCC
This 274-nucleotide ribosomal RNA is filed under the name uncultured bacterium. RNAcentral describes it as "partial 16S ribosomal RNA". It matches the Rfam family "Bacterial small subunit ribosomal RNA", at positions 523 to 796 of the family's 1533-position model. The record is from RNAcentral.